This 76-nucleotide transfer RNA is filed under the name Pseudomonas fluorescens. RNAcentral describes it as "tRNA-Phe". It matches the Rfam family "tRNA". Rfam says of the family: Transfer RNA (tRNA) molecules are approximately 80 nucleotides in length. Their secondary structure includes four short double-helical elements and three loops (D, anti-codon, and T loops). The record is from RNAcentral. RNAcentral also lists the same sequence under 4 other names. Lineage: Bacteria; Pseudomonadati; Pseudomonadota; Gammaproteobacteria; Pseudomonadales; Pseudomonadaceae.
GCAUCAGUAACUCAGACGGUAGAGUGUCAGUUUGAAAAGCUGAAGGUCACUGGUUCGAUUCCAGUCUGAUGCACCA